AGCGAACGCUGGCGGCAGGCUUAACACAUGCAAGUCGAACGCUCGUAGCAAUACGGGAGUGGCAGACGGGUGAGUAACGCGUGGGAAUAUGCCUUUUGGUUCGGAAUAACUCAGGGAAACUUGAGCUAAUACCGGAUAAGCCCGUGAGGGGAAAGAUUUAUCGCCAAAAGAUUAGCCCGCGUCCGAUUAGCUAGUUGGUGAGGUAAUGGCUCACCAAGGCGACGAUAGGUAGCUGGUCUGAGAGGAUGAUCAGCCACAUUGGGACUGAGACACGGCCCAAACUCCUAGGGGAGGCAGCAGUGGGGAAUAUUGGACAAUGGGCGCAAGCCUGAUCCAGCCAUGCCGCGUGAGUGAUGAAGGCCUUAGGGUUGUAAAGCUCUUUUGUCCGGGAAGAUAAUGACGGUACCGGAAGAAUAAGCCCCGGCUAACUUCGUGCCAGCAGCCGCAGUAA
This 451-nucleotide ribosomal RNA is filed under the name uncultured bacterium. RNAcentral's name for it is "partial 16S ribosomal RNA". It matches the Rfam family "Bacterial small subunit ribosomal RNA", at positions 29 to 523 of the family's 1533-position model. The record is from RNAcentral.